CUCUCGUCUCUCAACCCUUUCGUCGUCACUCUCAAUCUCUCUUCUCUCAACUCUCUCGGCCCCUGUCUCAGUCUCUUUGCCGAUUUGCCCCCACGAUUAAAUCAGUAGACAACCGUAUCCUUCAAGAGCAGUUGCAGAAUAAGUGACUAAGGUGGAGAAGAAUGCAUAUUGUAAUGGAGACUGUGGCAAGGGUGGUUAUGUCUGUAGAGUCUGUUUCCAGUGGCAAGGGUGGUUGUUUUGUUCCUAUACCAAAGAUGUGUAGAAUUCGAACUAAAGAAUAAGAAGUUGGAUGAUGUGCAUUUUAUAUAUG
Juglans regia (Persian walnut) is the source of this 310-nucleotide long non-coding RNA. RefSeq lists it as uncharacterized. The transcript is spliced from 3 exons. Lineage: Eukaryota; Viridiplantae; Streptophyta; Magnoliopsida; Fagales; Juglandaceae. The record is from RefSeq and is a predicted model, not a curated record.